This 467-nucleotide ribosomal RNA is filed under the name uncultured bacterium. Its description in RNAcentral is "partial 16S ribosomal RNA". It matches the Rfam family "Bacterial small subunit ribosomal RNA", at positions 28 to 506 of the family's 1533-position model. The record is from RNAcentral.
GACGAACGCUGGCGGCGUGCUUAACACAUGCAAGUCGAACGGAAAGGCCCUGCUUUUGUGGGGUGCUCGAGUGGCGAACGGGUGAGUAACACGUGAGUAACCUGCCCUUGACUUUGGGAUAACUUCAGGAAACUGGGGCUAAUACCGGAUAGGAGCUCCUGCUGCAUGGUGGGGGUUGGAAAGUUUCGGCGGUUGGGGAUGGACUCGCGGCUUAUCAGCUUGUUGGUGGGGUAGUGGCUUACCAAGGCUUUGACGGGUAGCCGGCCUGGGAGGGUGACCGGCAACGUGGGGCCGGAGAUCCGGCCCGAACUCUUCGGGGAGGAAGAAGUGGGAAAAAUUCAAAAAUGGGCGGAGGCGUAAGCAAGAAAGGCGGGGUGGGGAAGAACGGCCUUGGGGUUGAAACCGGCUUUGGCCGGUAAGAAGGCGUGGGGGACGGAAUUGGGUAAAGAAGCCCAGGCAAAUUAGGG